This 238-nucleotide long non-coding RNA is filed under the name Homo sapiens (human). RNAcentral describes it as "HSALNT0386943". Lineage: Eukaryota; Metazoa; Chordata; Mammalia; Primates; Hominidae. The record is from RNAcentral.
CCCAGGCAGUGUCUCAAAGAGGGCAACACCCUCCACUCAGAAAUGCUCAGCACAGAAACGUGACCAUGGAGCAGAGCUUAGACAUGGGUGACACCCGGCCACCAGGCCUGUCUGAAGCAGGGCUUAAGUCCUAGGUAAGGACUUCUCAGCAGUACCCCCUCUCCCCUGCAAAGAGUGGGUCAGAAGCUGCCCUAGACUGGGCGGUACCAGAGCUGAGGCCAGGGUGCCCACAUCUCAG